This is a small nuclear RNA of Nannospalax galili (Upper Galilee mountains blind mole rat), 103 nucleotides long. The record is from Ensembl. NCBI's taxonomy places the organism in Eukaryota, Metazoa, Chordata, Mammalia, Rodentia, Spalacidae.
GUGCUCACUUCAGCAGCACAUACAUUAAAAUUGGAAUAAUAUAGAGAUCAGCAUGGCCCCUUUGCAAGGAUGACAUCAAAUUCAUGAAGUGUUCCUUAUUUUU